Molecule: ribosomal RNA, 449 nt
Filed under: uncultured bacterium
Lineage: Bacteria
Description: partial 16S ribosomal RNA
Rfam family: Bacterial small subunit ribosomal RNA
Source: RNAcentral
GUAGGGAAUCUUCCGCAAUGGACGCAAGUCUGACGGAGCAACGCCGCGUGAGUGAGGAAGGCCCUCGGGUCGUAAAGCUCUGUUGCCCUAGACGAACGCUUGGGAGAGUAACUGCUCUCAAGGUGACGGUAUAGGAGAAGAAAGCCCCGGCUAACUACGUGCCAGCAGCCGCGGUAAUACGUAGGGGGCAAGCGUUGUCCGGAAUUAUUGGGCGUAAAGCGCGCGCAGGCGGUCACUUAAGUCUUCUGUUUAAUGCCAGGGCUCAACUCUGGCACGCAGGGGAAACUGGGUAACUGGAGUGCAGGAGAGGAAAGUGGAAUUCCACGUGUAGCGGUGAAAUGCGUAGAGAUGUGGAGGAACACCAGUGGCGAAGGCGACUUUCUGGCCUGUAACUGACGCUGAGGCGCGAAAGCGUGGGGAGCAAACAGGAUUAGAUACCCCGGUAGUCC